GAUUCAAAUGAUGAUUAUGGAUGUCAAAUUCUCACGACGGUCAUCUGAGAUUUGUUCAUUGAUGACAAAUAUCCUUUCAUUCUGAUGAUU
Cannabis sativa is the source of this 90-nucleotide small nucleolar RNA. RefSeq annotates it as small nucleolar RNA Z161/Z228. The transcript has a single exon. The record is from RefSeq and is a predicted model, not a curated record. Lineage: Eukaryota; Viridiplantae; Streptophyta; Magnoliopsida; Rosales; Cannabaceae.